UUUCUCCUCAUUCUAUUACUAGUAUCUAUCUCAUUCUCUCAUUCAUCUUCACCCACCACCAUCACCAAACUUGAAGAUUAUGGGAUUCAGAAAGUGAGAAAAUAUUCAUCAAUACAAGAAAACCCGUCAGUUGUUGAAGGUGACGACGAUCAAGUCAAGAGGAAAUACUUGCAUGAAGUACAUUCAGGACCCAAUCCCAUCAGCAAUUCUCUUCCU
Molecule: long non-coding RNA, 216 nt
Organism: Pistacia vera
Lineage: Eukaryota; Viridiplantae; Streptophyta; Magnoliopsida; Sapindales; Anacardiaceae
Exons: 3
Source: RefSeq, a predicted model, not a curated record